RNAcentral lists this ribosomal RNA (273 nucleotides) under uncultured bacterium. RNAcentral's name for it is "partial 16S ribosomal RNA". It matches the Rfam family "Bacterial small subunit ribosomal RNA", at positions 524 to 796 of the family's 1533-position model. The record is from RNAcentral.
UACGUAGGCACCAAGCGUUGUCCGGAUUUAUUGGGCGUAAAGAGCUCGUAGGCGGUUCAGUUAGUCGGGUGUGAAAAUUCGGGCUUAACCCGAAGACUGCAUCCGAUACUGCUGUGACUUGAGUUCGGUAGGGGAGUGGGGAAUUCCUAGUGUAGCGGUGAAAUGCGCAGAUAUUAGGAGGAACACCGGUGGCGAAGGCGCCACUCUGGGCCGAUACUGACGCUGAGGAGCGAAAGCGUGGGGAGCGAACAGGAUUAGAUACCCCCGUAGUCC